This 10113-nucleotide long non-coding RNA is filed under the name Malus domestica (apple). RNAcentral's name for it is "long non-coding RNA (MDOM_LNC003500)". Lineage: Eukaryota; Viridiplantae; Streptophyta; Magnoliopsida; Rosales; Rosaceae. The record is from RNAcentral.
AUUGUUAUAUAUGUGACCACUGAACAUAGAAUAUAAUAGUCUUCAUUACAAAACUUGAGCUAACUCUAGCUAUGCUAAUUAAGUUAAUAACAAGUAGUACUAGUCUCUCUAUACUUAUGCAGCCGGAGCAAAAUCAUAGUCGCCAUCAUCGUCAUCACCAUCGUCCCCAUCCCCUUCCGAGCAUGUUACCUGUGAAAGAUCCUCGAAUUUGGCAGUGACUCUACCAUCUCCAUCUUCAUGCUUCCUGCACCACGCAACAAUGUUAAUAUUUGAAACGGGACACAUUUUUGUUUAUUUUUUUAUCAAGAAAGUGAAAAAAGAAAGAGUUAGACUGAGUCCAAAUGAUGAUAACUUAGAUUGUGAAGGUAAGUUCAAUAUAUAUAUAUAUAUAUAUAUAUAUAUAUAUAUCGAGGGACGAGAAUAAGGUGCAUGUUAAACUCGUUUAUGCACAAGGCAUUCACGUGGGGAGUGUGACUGCUGCAUGAAGGUUGUGCAAGAACCAUUGUCCAAGACAGGUGGUGCUUUGCCAUCCAGCCACGAAGGGAUCGCAAAUGACAAUUCAGCAAACCACGUUGGUGCAAAUUGUGUUUGCUUCGUGACAACAUGCAGAGUUCAUUCAUGUGUUAGGAUGGAGAUAAUUGGCAAUGUGUUGGGUGGGUAUGUAUUGGAAACUCUGAAAGUGAUAGAUGCUUUAUUCACAAGGCUAAUCUUUGCUUUUCAAUAUUAGGGUAGAAACAAUUAAUAGCUAGAUUUCAGUAACCUUCUCAUUUAAACUUUUUGGUUUUAUGUUUUUAGUUCGUUUGUCAUCCUGUAAUGUUAUAUGCAUGAUCUAAAUUCUAUAUUUUCAAGAUCAUCUUUUAAAUAUUAUAUUAUUCAGCUAAACAAUAAGAUUUCAACAACGCUAAUCAAUGAUUAAAUUAUCACUCAUUUAAUUGAUUUUUUGUAAAAUUAAUCUUAAAGGAUGAAGAGUAGUACUAUAUCAUCGUAACCAUUUAAUUUCGCCUGCCCCAUUAAGAUUAAUUUUGUAAGAUGAUUUUAGCUCAAGAUCGUACAUGUUAAAUAUUUGAUAGUUUUAUUCUUAUUAGUUUCUUUAGGAGGGAAUAUUUUAUUCUUCGGAGCACUCACAUCAUGUCAUCAUCAGAUCAGCAUCAUUUCAUUUUUCAUACACACUAGCUACUCGCCUACGUAUGUAUAAGAAACAUAUAGACUUUUCUUCCUAAAAAAUAAUUCCAAAGAGAAAAGAAGAGACUCAUGUUUUGACUGCCCCAACCAGCGCCAUAAAUGCGCGUGGUCUUUGUCAAUUUCUCAGCGUCUAAAGACUUAAUAUAUAGUUAAUACUUAUGAGAAAUUAUUAGUACUUUUAGGUAUAUUUGAAAGUACUUUUAAAAUAUUUAAAAUGAUUUAUAAAUUGUUAAAGACAUUUCUGAUCAUAUUUGACAGUAAAAUUAAAAUUUAAAGGUUAAAUUACACAAGACUACCUUAAUUAUUGGGCAAAUCACAGUUUUAUACCCCAUCUUUAAAACAUUUCAACGUCAUACUUUAUCAUCGAAUUUGUUUCAAUGUCAUACUUUCCGUCAGUUUGUCUGUCAAUUCCUUUGUUAAAUGCAUCAUCGCGAUCUCAUCCACUUGAUCUGCAGAUGCUCCAUAUGCAAGCAUUCGUAAGGCAGCCGUAAUUUUUUGCUCAGGAAGAAGACCUAGAACAUGAAAAGCAUCAUCUUUUUGCACAAAGUAUGGAUCAUGUUUGCAAAUAGCACUCAUGAUUUUGUCGAACAAGCUUCGUUGCAUUCUAAAAUGACAUUUAAAAACAUGAUCACGGAAUACGCUAUUGGGAAUAAAAUAAUAUUUCCAAGAGAUCUUUACCUCGUAUUUCCCUUUUUCUCUCGAAGUUUGCAGCAUGUCUGGGUUUGGCUUUUGACCCACAGCUUCCAUGACACGGCGGGAAUGCGAGGCCAUCAGCCUUCUAUGGUCAUCAUCUUCAUCCUCCUCCAUUGCAACAGCCUUAUCUCCACCUCCACAUUCCUCGAGAUUGACCAAUUCUUCCUGUUGUGCCAACAAUCUUUUCUGUUGCUCCUCAAACUGUUUAUACACUCUCCUUGAAUAAGACAUUAUAAGAACUCAAGAUUUGAAACUGAUGAAGAAGGAUUGAGUUUGGUGUGAGGAUGGAUGUAGGGAUGUAGGGUUUAUAUGGACAAAAAAAGAAAGGAUGAGAUUCUGGACUAUGUAACGUGGCACUACGUGAUUGGUUGAAAAUCUUAUCGAAAUCUUGGCUAAAUUAUUGUAAACAGAUAAUGACAUGUGGCGCGUCGGGAUUGGUUGAAAAUCUAAUUGGAAAUUUAUCCACAAAAUAGUACGUUCGGAUAAUGACACGUAGCGUGACAAGAUUGGUUGAAAAUAUUAUUGAAAUAUUAACUAAAUUAUUGUAAACAGAUAGUGACACGUGGCGCGUAGGGAUUGGUUGAAAAUCUUAGCGAAAAUCUAUUCACAAAAUAGUACGUUCGGAUAAUGACACGUGGUGUGACGAGAUUGGUUAAAAAUCUUAUUUGAAAUUAAAACUAUUUUUUUAUUUAUUAUUUUAUAAAAAUUUAACAAUAUUUUAAAUGGGUUGGGUGCCAUCACAUUUUGUAGGGAUAGAGAUCAUUUGUGCCAGCGUAUUUUUUAGGGAUGAAGAUGCAUUUGGUCUAUUACUGUUCAUUGAAAUCUAUUAUUGUUCAUUGAAUAGAUUAAAUGGCCUGGGUGCCGGCACAUUUUUUUAAGGGUGAACUUGCUCUUAUUAGGCACAACCUAAACAACACUACAACGGGAAACACAACGCAAACGAGCGUGAGCUGCUAUACCGAAUUCUUCGUUGACUAUCGAGGACGGAGUUGUAAAGCUAUGAUUUCUAAGGGAUUGGAUCACUCAAUAUUUAUUUUUCGCAGUUUAUUUGAAAUGGUAAACAAUGUUAGGUGAUGUUAUUAUGCUCAACUUCUAAGUAGUAUUAAGAAAAGACAAAUAUACGUGUUGAGUGAAAUAAUAAUACAAUAAGAUCAUAAUCCGUAUAAAAUAAUAUUAACAAACAAUAUAUACAUCUUAUAUUUUGAGUGAAACAAACAAUAAAUACAAGUCUUAUAAUUUGAGCGAAACGGAGAAUAAUAAUAUGAAUGUGAUGUUACCAUGACCCAAGUGGACCUAAAAGUACUCUAUCAUGUGGGUCCACUUAAGAGAAUGACAUAUGUGUGCACCCUAUAACAUUCUAAAAUAAUAACGUAUUGUAAUGUGUUUUAACUUCUCACAAUUGUAAUAAGUACAUAGGACGUGUUUUGUGAGCUCACAUGAACUGACUUGAUUUGGGCUUUUGAGAAUUGGAGUGGGCUAAACAAAAGGCUGGGCUGGGAGAAGAUUAAGCUUUGGGUCUUUUGUUGGUGACAGCUUGAGCUUUUGGGUCGAGCAGCCCCCUUGACUUGAGUUUGGUAUUCAUGACUUCGGGCUGGUUUGAUAUUACUAUGCUUUGAAGAAAGAAAACUGAUUCUACUAUGUUGUGAGAAUAAGCUUAUUUUUGCUGCUUUACGUUUUUAGCUUAUUUUCACCUAAAACUGUGAAAAUAAGCUGUUUUUAAGUGUACCAAAUACCUUUUUGAGCUCAACUUUUUUUAUACCCACUUUUUAUAAAAGGUACCAAACCAGUACUGAUGUUUAGAAAAAUGACUUUGAAGCUUACAAUGGGGAUGAUGAGUUAGGCUAUAUUAAUUUCGAUGAAGCUGCUUACGACGCAUGGGACGAGUCUGAUUGGGAAAUGGUUGGUUCUUUCGUAAACGUCCGGUGGACUGGCUGGGAUUCCUACUUCCCUACUUAGUUACUCACUAGUGAGUACACUCUACUCAAUCUCCCAUGGGAGAAUUUUGAAUGCGGGUCUUAUUUACCCAUUUGGAUGUGAUAAGUUGUAAAUUGCACGACUUUUAUGCCCGAAUGGAUGAUGUUUGGCUUCUCAAACAGGAGGAACGCCUCUUGAAAUAAGGAUGUGGCUCUAUCCAGAACGCACCCAUGUUCGAACAUUGAAAAAAAUUAGAAGUCAAGAGUAAAAACACGACCAAGUUUAGAGUUUAGGGUAUCAACCUCCCUCAGUUGCUUUCUGAAAAAGUACUUUUUUUAAAAAGCUAUAUAAAAUCCCAACUCAGAUCGCUUUCUGAAAAGCACUUUGUAAAAAGCUCUACAAGAACAAUACAAGGCCUCCACACCAAGCCACUUAAGGAUGCUAAGCAUGCAUUAUCUCAGUGAGUAAACAAACUAAAAGUGAAUCAGCAAAUCCAAAUAUACGAAAAGAAGAUAAUGAGAUACUGGAACACCAAAAUAUAUAAGCUCAAAAAUUAUCCAUUCAACAGACGCAACAAAACUUGAUAAGUAAAUAGUCUCAACUCAAAAACAUCCUCCUUCAGAAGGCGGAAUCGACACAACAUAAACUUGAUGGGUCACCACCGCCUGUCCAGAACCCAAUUCUGGGCGCCGACACUCGAGAAUGAAGACAUCAGACCGGAAUUAAAACAACUACAAACUAAACCGACUAAACCACUUAAAACCAAACAACUAAGAUAAGAGUUUGUAUCAUAAAAGCAUAAGUUUGCGUCAGUGAAAAUUUGAGUACUGGCCAUUGUUCACUUCUUCUUGGCAGCAGACUUGGUGACCUUGGCACCGCUGGGAUCCUUCUUCUCAACGCUCUUGAUAACACCAACAGCAACAGUCUGGCAUGUCACGAACAGCAAAGCGACCCAAUGGUGGGUACUCAGAGAAGGUCUCCACAACCAUGGGCUUGGUGGGAAGCAUCUUCACCAUACCUGCAUCUCCGUUCUUCAAGAACUUUGGCUCCUUCUCAAUCUCCUUUCCAGACCUCCUGUCAAUCUUGGUAAGGAUCUCACCGAACUUCACAGCAAUGUGUGAAGUGUGGCAAUCCAGAACUGGGGCAUAUCCGUUACCGAUCUGACCAGGGUGGUUCAUGAUGAUAACCUGGGAUGUGAAGUUGGCAGCCUCCUUGGCAGGGUCAUCCUUGGAGUUGGAUGCAACGAAACCACGCUUGAGAUCCUUCACGGCUACAUUCUUAACAUUGAACCCGACAUUGUCACCGGGGAGUGCCUCCUGAAGAGCCUCAUGGUGCAUCUCAACAGACUUAACUUCAGUGGUCAGACCAGUUGGCCCAAAAGUCACAACCAUACCAGGCUUGACGAUACCAGUCUCAACACGUCCCACUGGCACAGUUCCAAUACCACCGAUCUUGUACACAUCCUGAAGUGGAAGACGGAGGGGCUUGUCUGAGGGCCUCUUGGGCUCGUUGAUCAGGUCAAGAGCCUCAAGAAGGGUUGGUCCCUUGUACCAGUCAAGGUUGGUGGACCUCUCAAUCAUGUUGUCACCCUCAAACCCAGAGAUGGGAACAAAGGCGAUUUUGUCGGGGUUGUACCCAACCUUCUUCAGGUAGGAUGAAACUUCCUUCACGAUUUCCUCGUACCUUGCCUUGGAGUACUUAGGAGUGGUGGCAUCCAUCUACAAGAAGCAAUGCAAACACGGGAAUAAGUACACAAUCAAAGUCAGCAAACCAGUACAACAAAAGCAGUCUUACAAGUGAAUAACAACCAGUCAGGAGGCGCAAACAAAUAACAUAAAACAGUUAUUUGGCAUCAUCUAGAGUAUAAACACUACAAAUUUAUAGAUCAUUAUAUGUUCUUUUAAGUUAAUGACAGAGAUGAAUUAAGUUAGGCAAGAAAUGACACAUGACUUGCCUACACCUGUACAUUGUUACAAUGAAAAAAACAAGCCCAGACUCAAUUUAAAAUGGAACCAAUACGCAAUAAAAAAAAUCAACUAAGCAGAGACUAAAAACAGUAGCAAUAUUCAAUAGAAAUAAUUGUAAGACACAUCAAUACAACGCACUGAAGGUUGAGAUAAACCACUGAUAAAGCAUGUAGGAGAGAGAGGGAAUCGAACCCUCAAUAGUUAACUAAGAACUACGCCACCAGGCAGUCCCUCCAAUUCAUAACUCCAAACAUCUCCUCAUAAAGUGGACACUACCCAUAGUUUGGGGCAUCAUUGAUGCCCACAAAUGCCAAUCAAUAGAACCACAAGGGGUAUUUGAACUAUGGGAGGAUCCCUUUAUCAGACAGAACCAACUGCACACAGAAGUUAGAAAUAACACACAAUAACAUAAUCAUAAUAUUCAAAGACCAGGAAAUUAGAAUGGAAUUUAUACCUUGUUACAGCAGCAAAUCAUCUGCUUCACACCGAGGGUGAAAGCAAGAAGAGCGUGCUCACGGGUCUGUCCGUCCUUGGAAAUACCAGCUUCGAAACCACCAGUGGUGGAGUCAAUGAUGAGGACAGCACAGUCAGCCUGUGAAGUUCCAGUAAUCAUGUUCUUAAUGAAAUCACGAUGCCCUGGAGCAUCAAUGACCGUGCAGUAGUACUUUGUGGUCUCAAACUUCCACAAGGCGAUAUCAAUGGUGAUACCACGCUCACGCUCAGCCUUAAGCUUGUCAAGCACCCAGGCAUACUUGAACGACCUUUUGUUCAUCUCAGCAGCUUCCUUCUCGAACCUCUCAAUCACACGCUUGUCAAUACCGCCAAGCUUGUAGAUAAGAUGACCAGUGGUGGUCGACUUGCCGGAGUCGACAUGGCCAAUGACCACGAUGUUGAUGUGAAACUUCUCUUUACCCAUGCUAAGUAACUAGAAUUUACCUGCACCCAGAACAUGCAACACGAAUUAAAUCAACAGUUCGAUAUCAGUAUAUGAAAACAAGAAUUAAUCAAAUUUAUUCAAAUAAAGUAAGUUUGUUCUUUAAAAAAACAAACAUUAAAUUUUAAUUAGUAAUAAAUAAUUCUCAUAGUUUAAUUAAUAAAAAAUUUAAACUAGAAUAAAUUCUCACAGUUUAAUUAACAACAAAUUAAACCAUAUGGUAAAGUAGUUUAUUCAUAUAACAUCUAUGAUUUAUUGUAAAGGUAAAUCUUUAACAUAAGCAUCAACUAAAUCAAUAAAAUAAAAAAUCAAUCGGAUGUAUAUCAAAUAAAAACAGCCAUCUGGGUUAAGAAAACAUAUUAUCGCCUACUAAUCCAGAAAAAAAAUUUAAAAAAAAAAACCCAAUAAACGCUUUAAAUUUGGUUUUAAAAUCUAAUCAAUCGAUCUACAACAUAAUAAAGUAAAGAAACACCAUCAUCGAGUUCUUGAAUUAUAAUCAAGUGCAAACGAAAGAAACAGGCAUCGACAGAGCCAUAAACAAAUCCAGAUUAACGAGAACAACAUGAAGAGGCAGCGAUGAACAACGUUUGCAGUCCCAAAUCUAGAAAACGGAGAGCGAAUAGACAAUGAGGAGAGAAAAUACCUCUCAGAUCUGGAAGCUCGAACUCUUUGUUCAAGCGAGAGCGGCAGAGGCAGUGAGAAAUGAAAGCGUAGGGUUGUGAGGCGCAACGUGACUUAUUUAUAGGCUGAGGGGGGGUUUGGGAAAAUAUUUAGGGUUUGCGUUGGAGGCCGCUUUGUCGGUUUACUUGUUUGCCCCUGGGUGGUGUCCGAAAUGACGAGUUUGACCUCCUGGUUUGCUCUUCAAGUAAGAUGUCACGUAAAUAUACGGCUUUUCAUUCUUUUAUCGCACAAUGUUUGGCCGGUUUUAUUUACCGUUAUAAAUUGUACUAUUAUAGUACAAUGCCCAUAAAUUUCGGGAAAUGAAUCAUUUCUGGAUCCCUUCCAUCAAGUCUACUAAUUCUACUCAUUCGAGUUAUUAAACUUUAAUCCAACGGUUAAAGUUAUUAUAAAUUUUAAAGGACCCCUCAUUUGUAGCAUUUGGAUCAAAUUUUAAUGGUCCGCAUGAGUGGACUUAGUGGUCAUAAAUCAUUUUAAAUAUUUCUAUUUAAAAUUAAACACAAACAGUAUUUGACAAAAACUGACCGCACGAUGCACAACGAACGGACAUGAUUCACGGAUCUCCAAGAUCCUUUCCAAAAGAAUACUUAUACAAUUCAAAUACUUGGAACAAAAUUUUCUUUAGAAUAAAUUCAUUUAGUUGAGAGUGUUGUUGGACAAUUUGGGCAACAGAAAAUACAUUGGAAUUGCAACGCAAACGAGUGCGAGCUGCUAUAUUGGAUUCUUCAUUGAGCAUCGAGGGCUGAGUUGUAAAGUCAUGAUCUUCAAGGGAUUGGAUCACUUAAAACAUUUAUUUUAUGCAGAUUAUUUGGAAUCGUAAACAACUUGUUAUGUCAUGUUACCAUGCUCAACUUCUAAGUAAUAUUAAUAAUUCUGACAAUUCCUUUUUUUCUUUCUCAAAAGUAAUAUUAUACAAAAUAAAUACGUAAAAGAGAAAUAUUACAUUUGACCUCAAAAAAGAAAAAGAGAAAUACUAUACGAUUAUAAUCCUUAUAAAAUAAUAUAAAGAAAUGAUAAAUAUAAGUUUUAUAAUUUCAGUGAAAUAAAGGGAAAAUAUGUGUCUUAUAAUUUGAGUGAAAUAAACAAUAGUGAUACCAUGUGAUGUUACUAUAACACAGGUGGACCUAAAAUUACUCUAUCAUGCGGGUCCACCUAAGAGAAUGACAUAUGUGUGCUCUAUAGCAUUCUAAAAAAAUAACACAAUGUAAUGAGUUUUAACUUCACAAGUGUACGUACCUAAGACAUGUUUUGUGAGCUCACAUGAAUUGACUUGAUUUCGGGUUAGUUUGGUAUUAUUGUGCUUUGAAAAAAAACUGUUUCUACUGUGUUUGUAAGAAUAAGCAACAGUGAAAUAAAGCAGUAAAGUGUUUGGUAAUGAUAAUUGUAAAAGUGUUUUUUAAUAAAAGAAAAAAAGCAGUGUUAUAGUGUUUGGUAAAUAUUUAUGUAAAACAGCUGUGAUUGCGUAAAAUGACCAAAAAAAUAAAAAAACUUAUGGCCUUUUCUUCCUUUCUUUUUGCCAAACAGUUCAUGAUUGUUUCCUUUUUCCUUUCUUCUUUGUUUCCCUUUCUUUCUAGCUUUUUCAUUCUUCUUUCUUUAUAUUUCGUUAUGCCAAAAUGUUUAUGGCUUUUCUUCCAUUUUUCAUCAAUGAUCCCUCUUGAAAUUUCAAAAUCCUCACCCACCUUCGCCCCUUUGCAUUUCUCUUUCAAUUAUGGCGAUUUGGAACCUUCGUCCUCACUCCUAUUUCUAUUUCCUGCAUUCUGAUUUCCAGGGCAUUACAUGUUUUGGAAGGUGCGGUGGUGGAUGAGUGGGUGGGAUAUGGGUUAUCAUCUAGCAGGGAGUGGGUUGGGAUCAUGGUUUGCAAGGUGGCGAUGGGUGUAUUUGGUGGGGAUUGAGAGAGAGAUAGGGUGGCGAAUUUGGGGAGUAAGAAAAGAUGGAGGGGAUGGGUGGUGAAUCUAGGUAGUACGGCGCUAGAGAGUGACUAGAGAAAGAGGGGGGGGGUGGAGUCCAGAACUGGUAUGAAGGAGAAAGAUAGGGUAAGGUUGCCACUUUGAAAAAUUCAUUUAAUGGCACUAUUCAACCAUGUAUUGUGAUAAAAAACAGGGUUUUGCUACUUUGCCUUUUUAGUUUUUUUUUUCAUCCAAAACUACGAAAAAAACUGAUUUUGAAAGUUUACCAAACACAAAAAAAUUGGGUGUUUUUUUUCAUACCUGCUUUUUUAAAGAGAGUUUUAACAAAACACUCAUGGUACUGUUCACUUUUAACGAAAAACCACAUUUAUACAGUUCCCUGAUACUAUUCACUAUACCUUUAAAAAUGAAUUUUCAUUAAAAGGAAAGUUUUUUUGGACUUUUCGUUAGUUUUCAUUUUUUUAAAAGGUAAGCAGUACCAAACUGGUACUUCGGCCUUUGAGAAUUGGAUUGGGCUAAAUAAAGGCUGGGCUGAGAUAAAAAUUGGGCUUUGGGGCUUUGUUGGCGGCAGAUUGAGCUUUUGGGUCGAGCAGCCCACUUCGCUUUUCCUAGUUUUAAAAGAAAAAAAAGAGAGAAAAUGGAGGAGAAAACUUGAGGAGCCAGCCAACUGCACAAGAGACUCCUGAUUUCCACUGACCACCGAGACAAUCAUCAAUGGCGGGCGUAUCGCUCAAGUGCGGCGAUUGCGGGAGUCUGCUGAGGUCGGUGGAGGAAGCCCAAGAGCACGCCGAGCUCACCUCCCACUCCAACUUCUCUGAGUCAACCGAAGCUGUUCUCA